UACGAGGGGUGCAAGCGUUACGCGUGAAUCAUCGUGGCGUAAAGAGCGCGUAGGCGGGAUAGCAAGUCAGAUGUGAAAUCCUAUGGCUUAACCAUAGAACUGCAUUUGAAACUGUUAUUCUAGAGUAUGGGAGAGGUAGGUGGAAUUCUUGGUGUAGGGGUAAAAUCCGUAGAGAUCAAGAGGAAUACUCAUUGCGAAGGCGACCUGCUAGAACAUAACUGACGCUGAUGCGCGAAAGCGUGGGGAGCAAACAGG
RNAcentral lists this ribosomal RNA (255 nucleotides) under uncultured bacterium. RNAcentral's name for it is "partial 16S ribosomal RNA". It matches the Rfam family "Bacterial small subunit ribosomal RNA", at positions 524 to 776 of the family's 1533-position model. The record is from RNAcentral.